Molecule: ribosomal RNA, 255 nt
Filed under: uncultured bacterium
Lineage: Bacteria
Description: partial 16S ribosomal RNA
Rfam family: Bacterial small subunit ribosomal RNA
Source: RNAcentral
UACGGGGGGGAGCAAGCGUUGUUCGGAUUUACUGGGCGUAAAGGGCGCGUAGGCGGUCGUGACAAGUCACUUGUGAAAUCUCCGGGCUUAACCUAGGAAGUGCAUUCGAAACUUCUGAGCUGGAGUUCUGGAGAGGAAGGCGGAAUUCUCGGUGUAGAGGUGAAAUUCGUAGAUAUCGAGAGGAACACCGGUGGCGAAGGCGGCCUUCUGGACAGUGACUGACGCUGAGACGCGAAAGCGUGGGGAGCAAACAGG